This 564-nucleotide ribosomal RNA is filed under the name Streptomyces chromofuscus. Its description in RNAcentral is "bacterial SSU rRNA". It matches the Rfam family "Bacterial small subunit ribosomal RNA", at positions 93 to 671 of the family's 1533-position model. Lineage: Bacteria; Bacillati; Actinomycetota; Actinomycetes; Kitasatosporales; Streptomycetaceae. The record is from RNAcentral.
UAGUGGCGAACGGGUGAGUAACACGUGGGCAAUCUGCCCUGCACUCUGGGACAAGCCCUGGAAACGGGGUCUAAUACCGGAUACGAGCCUCCUCCGCAUGGUGGGGGUUGGAAAGCUCCGGCGGUGCAGGAUGAGCCCGCGGCCUAUCAGCUUGUUGGUGAGGUAACGGCUCACCAAGGCGACGACGGGUAGCCGGCCUGAGAGGGCGACCGGCCACACUGGGACUGAGACACGGCCCAGACUCCUACGGGAGGCAGCAGUGGGGAAUAUUGCACAAUGGGCGCAAGCCUGAUGCAGCGACGCCGCGUGAGGGAUGACGGCCUUCGGGUUGUAAACCUCUUUCAGCAGGGAAGAAGCGCAAGUGACGGUACCUGCAGAAGAAGCGCCGGCUAACUACGUGCCAGCAGCCGCGGUAAUACGUAGGGCGCAAGCGUUGUCCGGAAUUAUUGGGCGUAAAGAGCUCGUAGGCGGCUUGUCGCGUCGGUUGUGAAAGCCCGGGGCUUAACCCCGGGUCUGCAGUCGAUACGGGCAGGCUAGAGUUCGGUAGGGGAGAUCGGAAUUCCU